CGCCCAUUUGAAUUCACGAGAAGAAAGUUCUCAUGAAUUUUUCUUCACGCAAAGCCCUCCUCAUGCCCUACUUUAAUGUGCCAAAUGAGUGGAUAAGGAUGAUUGGUUGGUCAUUCAAAUUCAAAACAAAGUUUGAAUUUGAAUGAGCAAUCAAUCUUAGCGCAUUGACCUUAUCCUCUUUUAGCACCCCAUUUAUUAUAUGAGAAAA
Molecule: long non-coding RNA, 208 nt
Filed under: Elaeis guineensis (African oil palm)
Lineage: Eukaryota; Viridiplantae; Streptophyta; Magnoliopsida; Arecales; Arecaceae
Description: long non-coding RNA (EGUI_LNC082039)
Source: RNAcentral